Chrysemys picta bellii (western painted turtle) is the source of this 4413-nucleotide non-coding RNA. Lineage: Eukaryota; Metazoa; Chordata; Testudines; Emydidae. The record is from RefSeq and is a predicted model, not a curated record.
AAAUCAAUAAUUCUCUUUGUCAAUUUUUUUUCAUCAGGUUUAGAAUUUAUGGAAGACUAGCUACAAACUGACAAAGCUAUUUUGUCAACUAGACUUGCAUAGCCUUUUGAAAGUGCCCACAACUAUGAAAACAAAAGCUGAAAAUUUUAAAAUCAACAUGUCACUUAUAAAAGCUCUCUGUACGCCUGGGAUUUAGCCAAGACUCUGGAAUAUGAUGAGUCAAAAGGUUCUGCUGGAGGAUCACAUUGUGAAAACUACAGCCAUGAAAGUCCCUCCAUUUAUUGCACCCUUCAAAAACGAAAUAUUAGCAUGGGAGGCUAAGCUGCGCGACUAAUGCAGGAGAUUAUGGAAACCUGGCUGCAAGUUCAAAAGGCCCUGGUGAUGCCGGGAACCCAUGCUUUGCUCACAAGAUACAUGUAACCAAAUAUCAGUAGAAGGAAAGCACUUUGAAGUUGUCAGUAGGAACUGGAGGCUAAUAAUGAAGGAGUCAGUGAAGGAGGCCAAUGGCAUGAGGGUUAUCUCACAGCCCCAGAUGCUGGAUAAGUUGAAGGAGGCAGAAUCGCUUUUGGAUGACAUUCAGAAAGGCCUGAAUGAUUAUUUGGAGAAGAAAAGACUAUUCUUUCUAAGGUUUUUUUCUUUCUGUGCAAUGAUGAGCUCUUAGAAAUCCUUUCUGAGACAAAGGAUCCACUCCGAGACCAACCACACCUGAAGAAAUGCUUUGAAGGAAUUGCCAAGCUCACUUUUAAUCAUGAGAAAGAAAUUACUCACAUGGAGUCAGCAGAAAAUGAAAAAGUAGAGCUCGUGCUGCGAAUAAUUCCAGCAAGUGCCAAGGGGCUAGUUGAGAAAUGGCUUCAUGAGGUGAAUAUCUUUAGAUCUUACUUAGGGUUUAGUUACUGUAUAAUCAUUUUCUCUUUUAGGAGCAAGGAAUAUCAUAAGCAUAUUUCCUAAGUAAAUAGCUCUCUGAGAAUUUAUCAGAUUAUUUGACAGAUUGAAUAUCAGCCUCAUUGUUGUUAUUUAUUACAACUAAUUGACACGUGCAAUCAUGCACAAAUUAAUUUUAAUAAAGAGGUUAUCAGUGUGUGAGACACUUAAUAAAAGUGUGUGUGUCUGAAACCAUAUAUGUGACUAUAUGUUCAAUUCUAUGUAUAUGUAUUUUUGUUGUCUUCUCCCUGUAAUUUUUAUAGUUUGGAAAAAGAGAUUUUUUUACAAAGCAGUUUAAAGGAACGUGAAGAGAUUUUUUUACACGCCCCCUUCCCCAAAAAAUCUUAAUUUUCAAUAAUAUUAAGCAAAGGGAAGAGAAAUAUUUAAUUGACAAUAUAUUAACCUUUCCCCUUUGGGCCUAUGAUCCAAAUUAAUCAGUUUCAGUGUGAAAUUAGUUUGAUGAUCUUUAUUGUUUGCUUUAUUUUUACCUUCUUCUGUUACACAAUCAAAGUGGGUCCUUCCUCUGAUAUACAAUUCUAGGCCAAGUCCACUUCCAAUCCCUCCUUCCUUCUUUCAAGAUAGAAUCAGCCCCAGGUACACAUCUUUCCUUUCUGUUGUUAUUGCAGGCACUGCUUUUACCCCAUUAAAUCUGUCCCUUUACCUCUUGCCUCUUCUCACUUCAGGCUAUCAGCCAACCAGGGUCUACAACUGAGAAAAACAAUACCUUAUAUUAGAAAAGGGAGAAAAGGAAAAACAAAAACAAAAAACACAGAGAGAAUGUUCUUUCCAAGGUGGAUUUUGUGGUGCGGGGGGAAGGAGGGGAGGAGAAAUUUGUCAAAGGAACUGAGAGUGAACUUUCGCUAAGAGUAUUACUUCUGUUAUGUGCCGAGUUUCUGCUGGCUGGGUGAGCAAAACAAAACAGCUCAAGUCCUCUCAUGAUUCCAUGUUUCCCACAUAACUGAGCCACAUAUCACCAUGCCAACUUAGAAUUAAUCUUUUUUAAAGUGACUGCACGCAAUUUAAAACAGUUCAUCACAGUUAGUCAGGGGAGGGUAAGGACAGAGCCUACUUAGGCACAAAUACCUCCUUCCCUACUCUCCAAAGACAAUUAUUACACUUCAUUUUUGUACUCAUUUUCAGCACAACGUUAUGUUCUUUGGAAAAACAUUGGAGCUAGAGAGCUGUGGUAGGUAUGAGAUAUGCAGUUAUGAGGAGCCUAGGAAAGGCAGAUCUCACCAUACCGGAAAACCUGCAGUAUGUUGUUUAGUUCUCUCUCUCGCUCUCGCUCUCCAACAAAAGAGAGAAAGAGAGAGAGAGGGAGAUGAGCAGCUGUGUUUAUUUUAAUACAUCUCAUUUAACCCUCACCUAAAAACAAAUGGAAAGGUUGGGAGUGCAUUAAUCUGGACCCAAUUAGCAUCUCUUUCUCCCUCAAAAGUGCAACCUGAGAUUGAUGAAUAUAAAAUAGAGUUUCAUAUGCAGUCUUUAAAUCAUUUGCAUGUUUUAUGCAUGAUAAUUGAAUUUAUUUAUGCACUUCCUUUCAUUUAAUAAUUUCCUGCUCUUUCCUGUGCUAUCCACAUUGUACUAUCCAAGAAAUAGGAUUUCAUAGUCAAGCAAGGAUAGGAGUAUAUAAAUAAAACCGAGUUAAUUUUUAGGUCUAAUGUAAACUGUAAAUAAAAAUUAAUAUUUGUGUUACUUUAAUUGGGUUAAUGUAAAAUAUUUUAGUUAAAGUAUAUACUUUUAGCCUUUUCAGACACUUUGGAUAUUGCUUAGUAUGCUUGUAAGUGUACAAGCAAAAUUAUUUUCAAAAGGCCAUGAAAGGCAGUUAAAUUAUUGUAUUGACAUUUCUAUGACCCUAGAGACUUGUGUUUCAACUUGGCCAAUUAGUAGUAAUAGUAGUAAUAAGAUAAUCAGAAGAUGAAUAGUAAUUACAUUAAUAACUAAUGGUAUUCAGCCCAGGACCUUGAGAAUCAGUCUGGUUUAGAAUAUAAUAGUACAUUAUAAUUUGUCUUAUUCAGUAUUUGAUCAGUAGAAAUAUGAGCAUUGGCUGCCUAGUACAUUUAUCAUAGGCAGGAUGUACAAGUUAUAGAGAUCAGUUUGCCACAUUACUGGCCCUGUGAUUGUGCCUGUAAAGUGCCAUAAUGGGGAAAAUUGCUUUUUUUCCCCAAUUAAGCUCAGAUGUCUAGUGAUUCCAUGGUGCUGGUGUCUGAAUUCUUUGCAAUGCAAAGUCCAUCCUUGUGAUGGUCAUGCCAGGAAGCUACUUGGGAAAGGAUUUUUUUAAACAAGGGAUUCUGGUAGUGUUUCUCAUAGUUUUGAUUUGUGCCAGUGCUUCUCUUGUCUCUUGUCUUUCCGUCUGUGUUUAAAGAUGUAUGUGGAAGUGAUCUUUUUCUGUGGCGUCCUGUCUUUUUCAGUGACUUAAUUGGUUUUGUGUUGUGAUUGUUUCCUGAUCUUUGUAGGUAGGAAUGUCUUUAAAGGCUAAAGUUCUGUUAAUUUGUGAUGUAACAAUUUCAGUGUGUUUCUUGUCAUUGAAAUGUAGUUUAAAAUGUUCAGUAAUGUAGCAUGAAAUUAUUGGUUAGUUUUGAAAUGGUUGUGAAAUCAUGUGAAGAAAAUAAGUAUUGCAUCUGAUCAAGAUAAAUUCACUCUAGUGUUUUAUGGCUUUUUAUUCCUAUGUGAUAGUAAUAAAGUCUCAUGUAGGGAUGGAAGCCAUGAAAUACAUUGUGAAAAAUCAUCAACUAAGAUGGGGCCAUGAGUAUAGAAAAAGGUAUAGUUGUAGAGCUAUUGAAAAUUGUUGGGAAAUGAUUUAGUAUGUCACCAUGUUGAUUACCAUGUUUGCAUUUUAUUUCUUCAUCCCUCACCCAUGUAAUUUGGCAAGUAAGGAAAUUAGUUUAUAACAGGUUGAUUCACCUUUACAUCAGUGUUAAAUGUUUAAAUUGUUUAUACAUUUUUUUAAAUUUUCUACUCAAGAUAACACUGUACAUGAAACACUAAACUAAUUAGUUAAUACUGUAAAAAACCAACAAAACGAAACAAAACCCCAACUUGUGAAUUUCCAAAUUCAUGUUAUUGCUACCUAAAUUAAGAAUGAAACAAACUAAGGUAUCCCAUUAGUCCAUGGUCCAGGUUUUUUUACUCCCACACUCAAUAAUAGACCUGAAUGAUGAGCUAGCAUGUAAAUAAUAAUUCUUUUUCUAUUGACAUGUUUUUCUGAAAAUAUACAUUCUCUUCUCUUUUUUUCCUAUUCUGGAAAUAAAGCAAGGGAUUAUAGCUCCGAGGGCAGAAAAAUCACCUGUGAGAAUGUUCAUAAUAGUGCCAACAUCCCAUAUAUUGCUUUACUAUCCAAGUUUUGUCAAUCUUUGUAUAUCUUUCUGUCUUGGGUGUCAUUUUGUUUGUGGGACACUUCUGUGAAUGUGAGUCAUUCUUAUAUAACUAAUUUAUUUUUACAGUCUUCUUUCUGUAUUCCUUCUCUAAUGCAAAUUAAUAAAAAUAUUUUUGUUA